GGUCACUGCGAGGGUGAGCCCCGCUUUAUCUACCCCUUCUGCUGUUGAUGGGCACUCGUCUGGGGCUAGAAGGGAUAAGGUUGCUGUGAGCGUUCUCGUGUGUUUUUGGUGCACGCGCACACACAUUUCUCUGGGGUGCAGACCUGUCUAGUAGUGGAACUGCCGUUUCCCAGCACUUUGGAGCAAAGCCCUGUUGCAGUCUGAAGCGGAAAAGGCAGACGGGCCUUCCAUGUUCGUGAUUCCAGCCAGGCACAGAAGGGAAGGACAGGGACAGCAGCCGCGCGGAGGCGAGGAGGGACACUGGGCGCUGCUGUCCCCUCUCAGGGGCAGCCACUCCUCUUGUGGACGCAGGUGUGGUCACCAGAAGGGAAGGACAGCAGAGGACUCUUCAGGGACCUUCCUGGAUCCCCCUGCAAUGGGAGUGGCCUACUUGCUUGACUUGAGGGUGAGACUUGGUCAGCCCUUGACUGUAGGGGGCAGGACCAUGGGCUUCAGUGGGGCAGCACCCAUGACCCACGCCUCUGCUUCCAUUCCCUGCUUACUGCCCGGGCCUCUGGGCAGGGGAGUCUAGUCUCCCUUCCCAGGCUUCCAAUGCCUCGCCCCCUGCUGUGGUAAGGAUUCGCGCUGGUCCCUAUUUAUUAAUCAGGGAACUUGGGGUUCCAGUUUUCUCCCCUUCUCUGCAUCUCAUCCCCUUGAGAGCCCCCUGGAGCAGAGGAUAACGCACGAGGGGACUGGCUGUGUAUAUUUUGAUAACAAUAUCAAAAUACUGUCAAAUACUAAACGGAAAAGAAAUAGGAAAACAUUGAACUUUAUUAAAAUGAACUUCAAAAGACACCAUUAAGAGUAAAAAGAUGACUCACAAAAAAGUUGCCUUUUGUUCAGUAAACGACUCAGGACCAGAAAAUAUGAAGACCCCUACAACAAGAAAAAUAUAGAUAGCUCAGUUAAAAAUUGACAAAAGACUUGAAAAGAUAUUUCACAAAAGGAGAGAUCCAGACAGUCAAUCCACACACGAAAGGGUACUUAGCAUCAGGGAACUGCAAAUAGUGACAUUCGAUUCCAUAUCACAGCCACUGGAUGGCUAAAAUAGCAACGCCAAGUGCUGAUGAGACUGUGGAACAACCAGCUGGGCUCUCAUACCCUGCUGAUGGGAGAGUGGAUUGGAGCAACCACGUGGAAACAUCUAAUGGAGGAAAGGGAGGCAUGACAGCUCCACAUCUGUGUUCACCCUUGUGGAUCCCAGGUGAGACUCCAGAUGAAAUGGGAGAGUUCUCUGACCCCCUCACAGGACAUGUGACAGGAGUGUGGCUAGUCUGUUCAGCCUCCACCACUGCUGAAACACCUUAUGGGAGGGGGAGCAUGCAGAUGGGCAAGCGCAGGUGCCAGGGCCAGCGCUUUUGGGCUUCAACCCCAUGGUGGCAUCUAGGGGUGUGUGUCUGUGACUCCUGAAGCCCCAGUGUGUGUGCUCCAGUGCUCUUUUAGCUCUGCUGUCUGUCAGGCCUCUGAGCCCAAGCUAAGCCAUCAGAUCCCCUGUGACCUGCACGUAUACAUCCAGACGGCCUGAAGCAACUGAAGAACCACAAAAGAAGUGAAAAUAGCCAGUUCCUGCCUUAACUGAUGACAAUCCACCAUUGUGAUUUGUUCCUGCCCCACCCUAACUGAUCAAUUGGCCUUGUGACAUUCCUUCUCCUGGGCAACGAGUCUCAUGAUCUCCCCACCCUGCACCUUGUGAGCCCCGUCCCUGCCCACAAGAGAUAACCACCUUUAACUGUAAUUUUCCACUACCUACCCAAAU
Molecule: long non-coding RNA, 1795 nt
Organism: Homo sapiens (human)
Lineage: Eukaryota; Metazoa; Chordata; Mammalia; Primates; Hominidae
Source: Ensembl